GAUUUCAACCAUAUGGAAUCAUCCACGGUGCAGCAGAUGGGUUUACAAGUCUCUUGGUCUCUUUGUGUAACUAACAGCCAAGAAGUCUGAAGCUUGCAUUGUUUACAUGGAAGAUGUUUCUUGCUCUUCUCUUGCCCAUUCCCACGCCAUACCAUCUGAACUUGCCACCUUUUUUUUUGUUUGUUCAGUGCAGUUCUUUAACUUUGUGGGGUCCUCUUCACAUGGACUCCAUUCCACUAUAAGUGGCUACUUCCCUGUGAGUUUAGAUGUAUGAUUUAGAGAUUUUUCAUAGCUGAUGCCUGAAUUAUGUUUCACAACAACCCUAGGAAGUAAGGAAGGCCUGUAUUGUCGUUCCCCUCUUACCAGUAAAGAACCUGAGAUGCAGAGAGACUUACUACUGAGUGACACUGCAGGAGUUCAGAUGGCUCAUCUGACUCCAAGCCCAGUGCUUUUUUUUGAUGGCACACUUUCUUUUCUCCAAGGAAGCAAACUGCCUAGAGCCAGAGGGAACUUCAAGAGAGAUUUCCAUCUUACAGUGAGAAAGCAAAGACUCAGAGAAGGCACUGAGGGGACUUCCCCAAGGCCAUUCUUUGCCAUUAUUCCAUCUUCGACCCUCAGAAACCUCCAUGUGAGCUACCUCUAUGUACCUGGCCUGCAUUUUGCUAGGGAGUUGGGAGACACAAAAGAAAUUUGAGAAAUUUUCUGACAAUUAAGGAAUUUACUAACAAGCCAUGGAGAUAAAAUUAAUGUAUUAAAAUCCUUAAAACAAAUAAGGGGACAUGGGAGGCACUCUCUCCAAGACUGAAAUUUUUUAACCCUGAAUUCAAGUCUGUUCUCAUUGUUCAAGGUUUGGAAGUAUGAUCCACAUGGUAGAUUUAAGUUCAAGCCCUUCCUGACCUAUCAUGUUCUGAAUUCCCACAGUGACCACCUGUGUCACUUUUCUUUUUUUUUUUUUUUAAAUUUUUUUUUUUUCAACGUUUAUUUAUUUUUUUUGGGACAGAGAGAGACAGAGCAUGAACGGGGGAGGGGCAGAGAGAGAGGGAGACACAGAAUCGGAAAUAGGCUCCAGGCUCUGAGCCAUCAGCCCAGAGCCUGACGCGGGGCUCGAACUCACGGACCGCGAGAUCGUGACCUGGCUGAAGUCGGACGCUUAACCGACUGCGCCACCCAGGCGCCCCCUGUGUCACUUUUCUAGCUCAUGUGGGCAAGAUGGUCUUCCUCCUGUUUUAGUGGGAACAGGAAGGACUCAGUGAGGAGGAAGCCAGGAAAAGAUUGUAGUCUUUAGUAGCAUUUUUUCAUGGGUGCUGCAGCCCUCUCAAAGAAAAUAACUUAUUGGGUUAGCUUUCUGUUUUUCCUUAAUCAAGUAAACCUACCUCCUACUUAGCACAAUACUUCUAAAGGGGAAUUAGGCAUUUUACCUAAUGGCUGCUGAAGGAACCUGUGCUUUGCUCUCCCACUUGCCCUGGGAAAGGGCAUUUAUCAUGUUCUAAGGCCUUCAAGACUUCCAGGUUGUCCUGGGGCCCAGAAGAUAUGGCUGCCUAAGGCCAGGUCAUCAUGGCAUUCCAGUAAUGAUAUUUUUCUCACACUCCUCCUUGAUUGUCAGAUGGCAUCUCAUAAGACUGUCUACUUAGAGCAUUCUUGGGCUGACAGAGGUGACCCUUGGAUAGGUGAUGGCCACAUGCUGGCCUGGCCCCAACCUUCUGUUGUAGUACUCUGUCUGCUAAGGCAGAGAGCUGAGCUGGUGCAAUUUUAUGCUCUCUAAACACAUUUACCAGAUCCACCUGGUCCUCAAGAGAGGUAAGAUGGAUUCAAAGUGAAGGAAGGCUCUAGGUCCAUAAUCCAAUUUGGAACCCAAAACAAAGGAAGAGAAAAGAUGGUGAGGAUUCUGUAGCUUCAUGGUGUUGAGGCUUUGAGAACCCCCAAAUAAUGACACACGCUAUGGGAGUACUGCACCAGUCAAGUUCCAGAGGCUGUGCCGUGUGGCAUUUGAAGUGAAUAAAAGCUGGUCAUGCAUUCUUUCUCUUCCACAUACCUACUAUAUGAUCUUGGAUUGGUUAUUUUUUUAAGUGGUUUUCUUUGUUUUUGAGAGAGACAGACAGAUAUACAGACAGAGACAGCAUAAGUCAGGGAAGGGCAGAGAGAAAGGGAGAGAGAGAAAGUCCCGAGCCGGCUCUACACUGUCAGUGCAGAGCCCGAUGCAGGGCUUGAAUCGACAAAGCCACAAGAUUAUGACCUGAGCUGAAACCAAGAGCCAGACACUUAACCAACUGAGCCACCUAGGUGCCCUUGGACUGGUUGUUUUAACAUUAGACAAGUUUCCAUGAACCUGCCUCAAUGGAAGACUGUGGGUAUUAGUGACAAUGUUUGUAGGCACUCAAAAAUUCUGGCUGGCCAUUAUCAUUUUCAUACUAUGUCAUGUGUAGAGAUAAACAUGAUCCAAAUAGAUCAAAAAGUUACAAAGACAAUUCCUGGCCUAGCAGUUUCCUAAAGUGAAUCAAUUAAAUGUGUGUGUGUGUGUGUGUGUGUGUGUGUGUAAUAAACAGUUGUAUAGGGAGCAAUGUUACAUGGCAAACAUCAAGAAAAGUUUCAAAGCUGAAAGUCAAGCCUCUUGCCUAGCCUUUGCUUCUGCACUGCCUAGCCAGCUAGCCUUGGACUAAUCAUGCAACCUCUGUCUUUCUCAGUUCCCUUGUCUAUUGAAAUGAGGAUAAUAGUAGCUCCCUUGUCUAUUGCACAGAGAAGUUUUUGUCAAGGGCAAAUAUCAUUCUGUAGGUCAAAGUGCUCUGAAAACAUAAAAUACUAUAUAAUUUUAAGGGAUAGUUGUUAUUUGAACCUAAAUGAAGCUCUGGACACUGAAAUGUCCUAUGUGAGGACCAAAAUAAUGCUGUAUUUUUGACUGUCUGUGUUUUACUGUCCACUCUCCCUAGCUUGCCAUUCCGAGAUCUGCUCUUCCCUCCUUGCUGCCCAAGUCCCCAGUGUUAUAGCAUUAUAGCAGGAUCCACAGGAUGACUAUAUUGGCCACAAGCUUUGGGGAAAAUUAGAAGACAACAAACAUUGGAAAAGCAUCUUGAAAACAUGUGGUAACAAGACAAAUGUGGCAAUCAUCUGGGGAGGAAGAAAAGGAAUGGCAAUUUGAUUAAUGAUUCCCCUGGAAGUUAUAGGGCAGAGAAAUUCUCUGGCCUUCAUGGAGAGAGAGGAGGACAGUCGGUCCAUCUGCCCCCACUGAGUCUGAACCUGAGCCUGGGCUAUGUGACCCACCUGCCCCUUCCACUUUCUUUCCCUCAGAGCAGUGCUGCCUCCCCCAAACAUUUUCUCAAAAGACUAUUGAACUUCCCUGGACUGACCUCUAUGAAUGUUCUUUCAAUUACCCUAGGAAUCUGGCUGUGCUGUGAUCGGAUUCCUCAAUCCAGCCCAUCUUGUGCUCGGGGAAUGUGAGGAUAAUCCUGGCAAGUGAAGGGGGCAUCUGGAGGACACCCAGCAAUCCCUCUGCAGUGUUGCUCAGAGAGCAAUGGCUAGUACCAUAAAAGGGAAUCCCCAUCUUACA
This 3541-nucleotide long non-coding RNA is filed under the name Lynx pardinus (Iberian lynx). The record is from RNAcentral. Lineage: Eukaryota; Metazoa; Chordata; Mammalia; Carnivora; Felidae.